GACGAACGCUGGCGGCGUGCUUAACACAUGCAAGUCGAACGAUGAUGCCCAGCUUGCUGGGCGGAUUAGUGGCGAACGGGUGAGUAACACGUGAGUAACCUGCCCUUGACUUCGGGAUAACUCCGGGAAACCGGGGCUAAUACCGGAUAUGAGCCGUCCUCGCAUGGGGGUGGUUGGAAAGUUUUUCGGUCAGGGAUGGGCUCGCGGCCUAUCAGCUUGUUGGUGGGGUGAUGGCCUACCAAGGCGACGACGGGUAGCCGGCCUGAGAGGGCGACCGGCCACACUGGGACUGAGACACGGCCCAGACCCCUACGGGAGGCAGCAGUGGGGAAUAUUGCACAGUGGGCGAAAGCCUGAUGCAGCGACGCCGCGUGAGGGAUGAAGGCCUUCGGGUUGUAAACCUCUUUCAGCAGGGA
Molecule: ribosomal RNA, 416 nt
Filed under: Cellulosimicrobium cellulans
Lineage: Bacteria; Bacillati; Actinomycetota; Actinomycetes; Micrococcales; Promicromonosporaceae
Description: bacterial SSU rRNA
Rfam family: Bacterial small subunit ribosomal RNA
Source: RNAcentral